GACGUACGCUGGCGGCGUGCUUAACACAUGCAAGUCGAACGGUAAGGCCCUUCGGGGUACACGAGUGGCGAACGGGUGAGUAACACGUGGGUGAUCUGCCCUGCACUUCGGGAUAAGCCUGGGAAACUGGGUCUAAUACCGGAUAGGACCCUGGGAUGCAUGUCCUGGGGUGGAAAGCUUUUGCGGUGUGGGAUGGGCCCGCGGCCUAUCAGCUUGUUGGUGGGGUGAUGGCCUACCAAGGCGACGACGGGUAGCCGGCCUGGGAGGGUGACCGGCCACACUGGGACUGAGAUACGGCCCAGACUCCUACGGGAGGCAGCAGUGGGGAAUAUUGCACAAUGGGCGCAAGCCAGAUGCAGCGACGCCGCGUGAGGGAUGACGGCCUUCGGGUUGUAAACCUCUUUCAGCACCGACGAAGCGCAAGUGACGGUAGGUGCAGAAGAAGGACCGGCCAACUACGUGCCAGCAGCCGCCGUAA
Molecule: ribosomal RNA, 478 nt
Filed under: uncultured bacterium
Lineage: Bacteria
Description: partial 16S ribosomal RNA
Rfam family: Bacterial small subunit ribosomal RNA
Source: RNAcentral